UGUGGGCCAGUGUCUUUGAGCACAAAUAGCUUUGAAUUAUUUAGAAGAUAUAAAAAAUCUGCCUACAU
This 68-nucleotide transfer RNA is filed under the name Echyridella menziesii. RNAcentral's name for it is "tRNA-Gln". Lineage: Eukaryota; Metazoa; Mollusca; Bivalvia; Unionida; Hyriidae. The record is from RNAcentral.